RNAcentral lists this ribosomal RNA (394 nucleotides) under uncultured bacterium. RNAcentral's name for it is "partial 16S ribosomal RNA". It matches the Rfam family "Bacterial small subunit ribosomal RNA", at positions 523 to 918 of the family's 1533-position model. The record is from RNAcentral.
AUACGUAGGGAGCGAGCGUUGUCCGGAAUUACUGGGCGUAAAGGGCGCGUAGGCGGCGCUUCAAGUCGUCUGUCAAAUGGGAGGGCUUAACCCUUUUUCGCAGACGAAACUGGAGAGCUUGAGAAGCAGAGAGGCAAACAGAAUUCCUGGUGUAGCGGUGAAAUGCGUAGAUAUCAGGAAGAAUACCAGUGGCGAAGGCGGUUUGCUGGCUGCAUACUGACGCUGAAGCGCGAAAGCCAGGGGAGCGAACGGGAUUAGAUACCCCGGUAGUCCUGGCAGUAAACGAUGUAUGCUGGGUGUGAGACUAACGAUAGUUUCGUGCCGAAGUUAACGCGAUAAGCAUACCGCCUGGGGAGUACGGUCGCAAGAUUGAAACUCAAAGGAAUUGACGGGG